GAGUUUGAUUAUGGCUCAGAACGAACGCUGGCGGCGCGUCUUGAGCAUGCAAGUCGAACGGCAAGAGAGGAGCUUGCUCUUCUCCUAGAGUGGCGGACUGGUGAGGAACACGUGGGUAAUCUACCCUUAAGAUGGGGAUAGCCGUUAGAAAUAGCGGGUAAUACCGAAUAGCCUUAAAGCCUCAUAAGAGGUUUUAAGGAAAGGAAGCUAAGGCUUCGCUUAAGGAUGAGCCUGCGUCCCAUUAGCUAGUUGGUAGGGUAAUGGCCUACCAAGGCGACGAUGGGUAUCCGGCCUGAGAGGGUGAUCGGACACAUUGGGACUGAGAUACGGCCCAAACUCCUACGGGAGGCAGCAGCUAAGAAUAUUCCGCAAUGGACGGAAGUCUGACGGAGCGACGCCGCGUGGAUGAAGAAGGCUGAAAAGUUGUAAAAUCCUUUUGCCGAUGAAGAAUAAGGAUAAGAGGGAAUGCUUGU
This 473-nucleotide ribosomal RNA is filed under the name Treponema sp. canine oral taxon 170. RNAcentral's name for it is "bacterial SSU rRNA". It matches the Rfam family "Bacterial small subunit ribosomal RNA", at positions 9 to 470 of the family's 1533-position model. Lineage: Bacteria; Pseudomonadati; Spirochaetota; Spirochaetia; Treponematales; Treponemataceae. The record is from RNAcentral.